Molecule: ribosomal RNA, 336 nt
Filed under: Pirellulales bacterium
Lineage: Bacteria; Pseudomonadati; Planctomycetota; Planctomycetia; Pirellulales
Description: partial 23S ribosomal RNA
Rfam family: Bacterial large subunit ribosomal RNA
Source: RNAcentral
AAAGUGGUACGUGAGCUGGGUUCAGACCGUCGUGAGACAGGUCGGUCCCUAUCUGGUGUGGGCGCACGAAACUUGAGGAGGUUCUUCGUUAGUACGAGAGGAUUUUGAAGGACGGCCCUCUGGUGUUCCUGUUGUCGCGCUAGCGGCACGGCAGGGUAGCUAAGGCCGGAACGGAUAAACGCUGAAAGCAUAUAAGCGUGAAGCCUUCUCCAAGAUCAGGUUUCGUAAGGACAAUAGUCCGAAAGUCCCCUGGAAGACGACCAGGUUGAUAGGCUGGAUGUGUAAGCACAGUAAUGUGUUCAGCUAACCAGUACUAAUGGACGAAUGCUUGGCCGC